RNAcentral lists this ribosomal RNA (464 nucleotides) under Streptococcus salivarius. Its description in RNAcentral is "bacterial SSU rRNA". It matches the Rfam family "Bacterial small subunit ribosomal RNA", at positions 28 to 474 of the family's 1533-position model. The record is from RNAcentral. Lineage: Bacteria; Bacillati; Bacillota; Bacilli; Lactobacillales; Streptococcaceae.
GACGAACGCGGGCGGCGUGCUUAAUACAUGCAAGUAGAACGCUGAAGGGAGGAGCUUGCUCUUCUGGGAUGAGUUGCGAACGGGUGAGUAACGCGUAGGUAACCUGCCUUGUAGCGGGGGAUAACUAUUGGAAACGAUAGCUAAUACCGCAUAACAAUGGAUGACCCAUGUCAUUUAUUUGAAAGGGGCAAAUGCUCCACUACAAGAUGGACCUGCGUUGUAUUAGCUAGUAGGUGAGGUAACGGCUCACCUAGGCGACGAUACAUAGCCGACCUGAGAGGGUGAUCGGCCACACUGGGACUGAGACACGGCCCAGACUCCUACGGGAGGCAGCAGUAGGGAAUCUUCGGCAAUGGGGGCAACCCUGACCGAGCAACGCCGCGUGAGUGAAGAAGGUUUUCGGAUCGUAAAGCUCUGUUGUAAGUCAAGAACGAGUGUGAGAGUGGAAAGUUCACACUGUGACG